GUUGUCUAUUUGGGUUGUGCAGGAUUUUGAAGCUUAAGAAGAGUGAGACCGAACAUGCAGGCCACAAGAGUGAACGACUAUGUCAACAUCCAGCUUGGGGGAGGCACCCCCACGUGUAUCUAGAUAAGUAUUACUUUUCUUCCUUUGGUUUUAUUUUCUAGUAUUCAGAAAUAAAUAAAUAAAUAAAAAUGCAUAACCAUGAAACCAAACAAAGUUUUUCUUUUG
This 225-nucleotide long non-coding RNA is filed under the name Sorghum bicolor (sorghum). RNAcentral's name for it is "long non-coding RNA (SBIC_LNC010909)". Lineage: Eukaryota; Viridiplantae; Streptophyta; Magnoliopsida; Poales; Poaceae. The record is from RNAcentral.